This 254-nucleotide ribosomal RNA is filed under the name uncultured bacterium. RNAcentral's name for it is "partial 16S ribosomal RNA". It matches the Rfam family "Bacterial small subunit ribosomal RNA", at positions 524 to 776 of the family's 1533-position model. The record is from RNAcentral.
UACGUAGGGAGCGAGCGUUAUCCGGAAUCAUUGGGCGUAAAGAGCUCGUAGGCGGUUCAGCAAGUCGGCUGUGAAAGUCCGAGGCUCAACCUCGGAAUUGCAGUCGAUACUGUUGUGACUCGAGUCCGGUAGAGGAGAAUGGAAUUCCCGGUGUAGCGGUGGAAUGCGCAGAUAUCGGGAGGAACACCAGUAGCGAAGGCGGUUCUCUGGGCCGGCACUGACGCUGAGGAGCGAAAGCGUGGGGAGCGAACAGG